Molecule: ribosomal RNA, 576 nt
Filed under: Triticum aestivum (bread wheat)
Lineage: Eukaryota; Viridiplantae; Streptophyta; Magnoliopsida; Poales; Poaceae
Description: partial small subunit ribosomal RNA
Source: RNAcentral
AUGAAGUUAAGAUCGGAGCUUGACAUUAGCAGGGACAAAGAUAUCAAGACAAAGGAUUUGAGGAAUAAGCUCAAGGUGCUCGUCAAGGAUCCUAGCAAAGAUGACCUUGCUCUGAAAGUGUUCUUCAUUAUUGUGUUUAUGAAGGUUAUGUUGCCUGGAUCUGCCCCGCGUGUUUCCAGAGAGGCAGCAAUGUUUGAGGGUCUCGUCUUUGAGGACAUGGCUAAUAUGGAUUAUUGCCAGCUGAUGGUUGAUGAGCUUAGAAGGGCUGUUGCCAAGUACCGAAGUGGUCAUACCAUGGGGAAGGCAAUCAUAGGCUGUGCCAUAGGGCCUGUAUUAAUGUACCUUGACUGCCUUAUCUGUGGCAAAACUGUGGAGCCUGACAUGCGAGUCCCCCGCAUAUGUUACAUGGAUCCUGCCAAGCUUUCUGAUCUGGUUGAUGCAGAUUUGAUAAAAAAGCAAUGCAGAUCCAAAGACUUGGGUGUUUGGGAAGCUUCCGUAAUGCUAGUGCUUCACAGAGGCAGGGUUUUGGUAUUGAUGUUGCUGUUUCAGCGUUGGAGCGCGCUGAGCAUAUCUUAA